UCCGAACAGCAGGGGGAAGUAAUGGCUAAUUUAAGCUGCGCCAACAAACCGCGAUGAAGAAGCAGUGAGAGGGUGGAGGAGCGUUUCGACAUGGCAGACAGGUGUAAUGUGGAGCUCAGACGUUGGCGAGCGCUGUUUAUGGAUGUGCAGCGUAAUGAUGCGGCGCCGGCAGCUGCUGUCCGUGGUCCUGAACUUCAAAUGGACACUGGUUUCUCAGAUUGACCUCCAUCGUAUAGUGCGAGCUCUCAGCUGUCAGAAGAUCUGAACUCCAGUUUUCCUCGGUGGCCCGGUCUUCUUCUGGCGCUGCAGGAACCCGCUGAGUUUGCACUGUGGGCUGAGGUAGUAGGUUGUAUAGUUUUAGGGUCACACCCACACUGGGAGAUAACUAUUCAACCUACUGUCUUUCUCAAAGUGCCAGAUGCACAUCUCGGCCUCCGCCCCCUCUGAAGGCCAGUUUUCUGACAUCAGCGUUUGCAUGGAUCCAGAUGUUUUAUCACAGCUGCUCACACAGUGUGAGGUAGUAGAUUGUAUAGUUGUAGGGUAGUGAUUUUGCCCUGUUCUGGAGAUAACUAUACAAUCUAUUGCCUUCCCUGAGGAGUGGUAUAUCUUCAGGGUUUUUGGAAUAAAUGCACAAUGUAUAUGUGAUAAAUGAUCAGUCAGUAAUAAUAAAUGAUGAGAGUUCUAAUGCACAGUGUUUGAUGGGCUUUGUGUGCAGAAAUAAAGGAACAUUUGAAGAGUCA
Morone saxatilis (striped sea-bass) is the source of this 740-nucleotide long non-coding RNA. RefSeq lists it as uncharacterized. NCBI's taxonomy places the organism in Eukaryota, Metazoa, Chordata, Actinopteri, Moronidae. The record is from RefSeq and is a predicted model, not a curated record. The transcript is spliced from 3 exons.